AUUACAAAAUUGCCGAAGACAGCAGGUGCCAUUGUGGCGUAAACGCAGAACCUGCCGAGGGAAUUUACAAAACAUGAUAUGUUUAUGUAAAAUGAUGAUUCUCUCUCUGUCUGCAUGGCAGGGGGAUUUUUUUAUGU
RNAcentral lists this small RNA (137 nucleotides) under Eubacterium ramulus. RNAcentral's name for it is "Ribosomal protein L10 leader". It matches the Rfam family "Ribosomal protein L10 leader". From Rfam's summary of the family: This family is a putative r-protein leader autoregulatory structure found in B. subtilis and other low-GC Gram-positive bacteria. It is located in the 5' untranslated regions of mRNAs encoding ribosomal proteins L10 and L12 (rplJ-rplL). The record is from RNAcentral. Lineage: Bacteria; Bacillati; Bacillota; Clostridia; Eubacteriales; Eubacteriaceae.